UUCGUGCCAGGCAGCCGCGCUAAUACGUAGGUGGCAAGCGUUAUCCGGAAUUAUUGGGCGUAUAGCGCGCGUAGGCGGUUUUUUAAGUCUGAUGUGAAAGCUCACGGCUCAACCGUGGAGGGUCAUUGGAAACUGGAAAACUUGAGUGCAGAAGAGGAAAGUGGAAUUGCAUGUGUAGCGGUGAAAUGCGCAGAGAUAUGGAGGAACACCAGUGGCGAAGGCGACUUUCUGGUCUGUAACUGACGCUGAUGUGCGAAAGCGUGGAGAUCACACAGGAUUAGAUACCCUGGUAGUUCACGCCGUAAACGAUGAGUGGUAAGUGUUAGGGGGUUUCCGCCCCUUAGUGCUGCAGCUAACGCAUUAAGCACUCCGCCUGGGGAGUACGACCGCAAGGUUGAAACUCAAAGGAAUUGACGGGGACCCGCACAAGCGGUGGAGCAUGUGGUUUAAUUAGAAGCAACGCGAAGAACCUUACCAAAUCUUGACAUCCUUUGACCCUUCUAGAGAUAGAAGUUUCCCCUUCGGGGGCCAAAGUGACAGGUGGUGCAUGGUUGUCGUCAGCUCGUGUCGUGAGAUGUUGGGUUAAGUCCCGCAACGAGCGCAACCCUUAAGCUUAGUUGCCAUCAUUAAGUUGGGCACUCUAAGUUGACUGCCGGUGACAAACCGGAGGAAGGUGGGGAUGACGUCAAAUCAUCAUGCCCCUUAUGAUUUGGGCUACACACGUGCUACAAUGGACAAUACAAAGGGCAGCGAAACCGCGAGGUCAAGCAAAUCCCAUAAAGUUGUUCUCAGUUCGGAUUGUAGUCUGCAACUCGACUACAGAAGCUGGAAUCGCUAGUAAUGUCAGCAGCAGCGAUAUCGUGACAGCUCGCG
Molecule: ribosomal RNA, 873 nt
Filed under: Staphylococcus hominis
Lineage: Bacteria; Bacillati; Bacillota; Bacilli; Caryophanales; Staphylococcaceae
Description: bacterial SSU rRNA
Rfam family: Bacterial small subunit ribosomal RNA
Source: RNAcentral